AUGGAUGCGCCACUUGUUGACACACACACACACACCUUCAACCUCUCGGCGCUCCAGUCCAUUCCGCUUCACUCCCCUCUCGCGCUUCCUCCUCCGCCUCGUCGACCCGGUCCCACUCGCGGCAUCCUCCGCCGCCGCGCAGGCGCAGCGAUGGCAGCCCGCGCCCCUUACUUCGCCCCCGAGGAAGGCGCCCGGGGCAUCCGCCCAGGGGAGUCACCUGCCGCGGCGCUCCGCCGGAUCCUGGCGACGCCAGGCGCCCACCAGGCGCCCUGCUGCUUCGACGCGCUCGGCGCCCGCCUCGUCGAGCGCGCGGGGUUCCCGAUCUGCUUCAUGGGCGGUUUCUGUGUUUCUGCUGCACGACUUGGAUUGCCAGAUGUUGGAUUAAUCUCCUAUGGAGAAAUGGUUGAUCAAGGGCGUCUAAUCACCGAAGCAGUUUCGGUUCCCGUGAUUGGUGAUGGAGACAAUGGUUACGGAAAUUCUAUGAACAUCAAGAGAACUGUAAAAGGAUAUAUCAAUGCUGGGUUGGCUGGAAUCAUGCUUGAAGAUCAGGUGGCACCAAAAGCGUGUGGACACACUGAAGGAAGGAAAGUCAUCUCGAGGGAGGAAGCGGUCAUGCACAUAAAAGCUGCUAUAGAUGCCAGGAAGGAGAGUGCCUCUGACAUUGUUAUUGUGGCGAGAACAGAUUCCCGGCAAGCUGUUUCUCUUGAUGAAGCAUUAUGGAGAGUUCAGGCUUUUGCUGAUGCUGGAGCAGAUGUUCUAUUUAUUGAUGCCCUUGCUUCAAUAGAAGAGAUGAAGGCAUUCUGUGCGGUUGCACCUGGAGUACCAAAGAUGGCAAACAUGUUAGAAGGUGGUGGUAAAACUCCCAUAUUGACCCCUGCUGAACUCAAGGAGAUUGGUUUUAGCCUUGUAGUCUAUCCGUUGUCCCUAAUUGGGGUGGCAAUGCGUGCAAUGGAGGAUGCUCUACUCGCCAUAAAAGGUGGUGGCGUACCCCCACCUGCCAGCCUGCCAUCUUUUCAGGAGAUCAAGGAUACUCUAGGGUUCAACCGCCAUUACCAGGAAGAUAAACAGUACACUGUCCCGCAAGCCGAGCCAUCAAUGCCAAGUGGUAACCCGUAG
This 1116-nucleotide ribosomal RNA is filed under the name Triticum aestivum (bread wheat). RNAcentral's name for it is "partial small subunit ribosomal RNA". Lineage: Eukaryota; Viridiplantae; Streptophyta; Magnoliopsida; Poales; Poaceae. The record is from RNAcentral.